RNAcentral lists this ribosomal RNA (1575 nucleotides) under Triticum aestivum (bread wheat). RNAcentral describes it as "partial small subunit ribosomal RNA". The record is from RNAcentral. Lineage: Eukaryota; Viridiplantae; Streptophyta; Magnoliopsida; Poales; Poaceae.
AUGGACGCGCCGGCCCCCGACAACAUCGCCGCUGAGGAGGGCGGGCAGCAACAGAUGCACCAGGACGAGAAGGAGCACAGGCCGAUGUUCAGGAGAGUCAAGGACAGGAUGAGGAAGAUGAAGAACACCAUCGCCGGCCACGGCCACGAUCACGAUCACGAUCACGAGCAGGACACCGGGGGCGGUGGUAGCAACAGCACCGGCGAGGACGAGGAGGAUGCGGCGACGAGGGAAGCCGAGGUGGACAAGGGCGGAUACCAGCAGCAAGACGUCGAGGACAAGCCCAUCUUCGCGGACUCCAGUCCCGAGCAGCACGGCGCACCCAUGUACGACUCGGAGAGGAUCCCUGCGGCGGCCAAGGAGGUGGAGCACAACGACGCUCCGGCAGCGGCGCAGGAGGUGAAGCGCGACGACGCCGCGGGGAUGCGGCUCGGCGACUUGGGCGGCCCGCCGUCGGCGAAGGAGGUGAAGCUGGACGACACCCAGAGGGUGCCGCUCGGCGACCUUGGCGCCCCGGCAGCGGCGCAGGAGGUGAAGUGCGACGACGCUCCGGGGGUUUGGCUUGGUGACCUUGGCGCCCCGGCAGCGGCGCAGGAGGUGAAGCCCAACGAGGCUCCGGGGGUGCGGCUUGCUGACCUUGGCGCCCCGGCAGCGGCGCAGGAGGUGAAGCGCGACGACACCCAGGGGGUGCCGCUCGGCGAUCUCGGCAGCCCUGUCGUCGAGGACCCGGCCGUGCCGAACUCGAGCACGCCCAUGCCGCCAGGUGGCCAAGACAUCGGCACGACGGAUGCCGUCCGUAACUUGGAGGCGAUGACUGUGUCAGACGACCCCAAGCAAGUCGGCGCACGGAAGAUGGACGUCGACGUGAGCAAAGAGUAUGAGGCAAUGCCGGUGUCGGACGGCACCGGGGAGGAACGGAACGACGCACCCACGGACGCCGAGUACACCGGGAGCGACACGGACAGGCUCAAGAAUACGGCAGCUGGCACGGUGUAUGAGAAGGUCGCCGGCGUCGGCACGGUCAUGGCGAGCAAGGCGCAGCAGGUCACCCCCGGCGUCGGCGCUGGCGGGAACGCGCAGGACGACUCCAGCGCAACUGCCGCCCCUGAAUCGGUGACCGCCGGUGCCGGGAAGAGGGACCUCGACUUGCCGCAAGAGGGAACGGCGGCGUCCUACACCGGCACGGAGGGGCUGAAGGACGCGGCAACGGACGCGACGGGCACGGAGGGGCUGAAGAACGCGGCCACGGACGCGACGGGCACGGAGGGGCUGAAGAACGCCGCCACGGACGCGACGACGGAGGGCGCGCCUGGCGCGACGUACACGGACAUGAUCAAGUCCGCGGCGGCGGGCACCACGGAGUACGGCAAGAAGCUGGCUAGCACGGUGUACGACAUGAUCAAGUCCGCGGUGGCGGGCGCCACGGAGUACGGCAAGAAGCUAGCGAGCACGGUGUACGAGAAGGUCGCCGGCGUCGGCACGGCCGUUGCGAGCAAGGCCCAGCAGGUGACGACAUCGGCCGGCACCGCGGUGCUUCACGGCGCGGCUCCAAGGACCAACACGAAUGUGAUGUGA